RNAcentral lists this ribosomal RNA (440 nucleotides) under uncultured bacterium. RNAcentral's name for it is "partial 16S ribosomal RNA". It matches the Rfam family "Bacterial small subunit ribosomal RNA", at positions 338 to 795 of the family's 1533-position model. The record is from RNAcentral.
CCUACGGGUGUCAGCAGUUGGGGAUAUUGCACAAUGGGGGAAACCCUGAUGCAGCGACGCCGCGUGUGGGAAGACGGUCCUCUGGAUUGUAAACCACUGUCCCCAGGGACGAAGAUGACGGUACCUGGGGAGGAAGCUCCGGCUAACUACGUGCCAGCAGCCGCGGUAAUACGUAGGGGGCAAGCGUUGUCCUGAAUUACUGGGUGUAAAGGGAGCGUAGGCGGGAUGGCAAGUUGGGGGUUAAAUCUACCGGCUCAACUGGUAGUCGCACGCAAAACUGAGAUUCUUGAGUGAAGUAGAGGCAGGCGGAAUUCCUAGUGUAGCGGUGAAAUGCGUAGAUAUUAGGAGGAACACCAGUGGCGAAGGCGGCCUGCUGGGCUUUUACUGACGCUGAGGCUCGAAAGUGUGGGGAGCAAACAGGAUUAGAUACCCCAGUAGUC